CGCGGGGUAGAGCAGUCGGCAGCUCGUCAGGCUCAUAACCUGAAGGUCGCAGGUUCGAAUCCUGCCCCCGCCACCA
Molecule: transfer RNA, 76 nt
Filed under: Planctomycetaceae bacterium
Lineage: Bacteria; Pseudomonadati; Planctomycetota; Planctomycetia; Planctomycetales; Planctomycetaceae
Also listed under: 1 other name
Description: tRNA-Met
Rfam family: tRNA
About the family: Transfer RNA (tRNA) molecules are approximately 80 nucleotides in length.
Source: RNAcentral